GAUGAACGCUGGCGGCGUGCCUAAUACAUGCAAGUCGAGCGAACAGAUAAGGAGCUUGCUCCUUUGACGUUAGCGGCGGACGGGUGAGUAACACGUGGGUAACCUACCUAUAAGACUGGGAUAACUUCGGGAAACCGGAGCUAAUACCGGAUAACAUUUGGAACCGCAUGGUUCUAAAGUGAAAGAUGGUUUUGCUAUCACUUAUAGAUGGACCCGCGCCGUAUUAGCUAGUUGGUAAGGUAACGGCUUACCAAGGCGACGAUCCGUAGCCGACCUGAGAGGGUGAUCGGCCACACGGGAACGUAGACACGGUCCAGACUCCUACGGGAGGCAGCAGUAGGGAAUCUUCCGCAAUGGGCGAAAGCCUGACGGAGCAACGCCGCGUGAGUGAUGAAGGGUUUCGGCUCGUAAAACUCUGUUAUUAGGGAAGAACAAAUGUGUAAGUAACUGUGCACGUCUUGACGGUACCUAAUCAGAAAGCCACGGCUAACUACGUG
RNAcentral lists this ribosomal RNA (497 nucleotides) under uncultured bacterium. Its description in RNAcentral is "partial 16S ribosomal RNA". It matches the Rfam family "Bacterial small subunit ribosomal RNA", at positions 28 to 507 of the family's 1533-position model. The record is from RNAcentral.